GACGAACGCUGGCGGCGUGCUUAACACAUGCAAGUCGAGCGGUAAGGCCCUUUCGGGGGUACACGAGCGGCGAACGGGUGAGUAACACGUGGGUGACCUGCCCUUAGCUCUGGGAUAAGCCUGGGAAACCGGGUCUAAUACCGGAUAUGACUCCAUGACGCAUGUUGUGGGGUGGAAAGCCUUGUGCGGCUAGGGAUGGGCCCGCGGCCUAUCAGCUUGUUGGUGGGGUGAUGGCCACCAAGGCGACGACGGGUAGCCGGCCUGAGAGGGCGACCGGCCACACUGGGACUGAGACACGGCCCAGACUCCUACGGGAGGCAGCAGUGGGGAAUCUUGCGCAAUGGGCGAAAGCCUGACGCAGCGACGCCGCGUGGGGAUGACGGCCUCGG
This 389-nucleotide ribosomal RNA is filed under the name uncultured bacterium. Its description in RNAcentral is "bacterial SSU rRNA". It matches the Rfam family "Bacterial small subunit ribosomal RNA", at positions 28 to 420 of the family's 1533-position model. The record is from RNAcentral.